GAUGAACGCUGGCGGCGUGCUUAACACAUGCAAGUCGAACGAUGAAGCCCAGCUUGCUGGGUGGCUUAGUGGCGAACGGGUGAGUAACACGUGAGUAACCUGCCCUUAACUCUGGGAUAAGCCUGGGAAACUGGGUCUAAUACCGGAUAGGAGCGUCCACCGCAUGGUGGGUGUUGGAAUGGUUUAUCGGUUUUGGAUGGACUCGCGGCCUAUCAGCUUGUGGGUGAGGUAUUGUCUCACCAAGGCGACGACGGGUAGCCGGCCUGAGAGGGUGGCCGGCCACACUAGGCUUGGGACACGGCCCAGCCUCCUCCGGUAGGCAGCGGUGCGGAGUAUUGCACAAGGGGCGGAAGCCUGAUGCAGCGCCGCCGCGUGGGGGAUGACGGCCUGCGGGUUGUAAACCUCAUUCAGUAUGGAAGAAGCGAAAGUGACGGUACCUGGAGAAGAAGCACCGGCUAACUACGUG
Molecule: ribosomal RNA, 466 nt
Filed under: uncultured bacterium
Lineage: Bacteria
Description: partial 16S ribosomal RNA
Rfam family: Bacterial small subunit ribosomal RNA
Source: RNAcentral